RNAcentral lists this long non-coding RNA (2860 nucleotides) under Papio anubis (olive baboon). Its description in RNAcentral is "lncRNA (ENSPANG00000050079.1)". The record is from RNAcentral. Lineage: Eukaryota; Metazoa; Chordata; Mammalia; Primates; Cercopithecidae.
UAUGUGAUCUCAAGUAUUUCUUGUUAUUCUAUUUUCUAGCUGCUUUAUGAAGUUUGUUUCUAGUGUGCAUGAAAUUUUUCUUUUCAUAUUCUGAAUAUUUAUGAAUUCUCCAUAUUGAAGUUGUUGAUUUUACAGCAUCUGUAUCCUAUUUUUUACUAUUCUUGCUGGUGGAAGGUGCUUUUCUUUUGGUUGUUUUUAUUUUUGGUAAGUUUUCUUACAUAUCAUAGUAAGUAUAUAAAUUAAUGUAUUUGUACUUACAUAACAUAUAAUAUAAAAAUGUAAGUGUACCAUGAAUAUUAGGAGAAAUUCUUUGACAGUGAGAGUAAUAUUGUGCUCUUCUCUAAUACUUUUACCUUCUUUCUCACUCUCGGAUUAUUGCAUUGGCAAGAAUUUUCUGAACAAUUCUGCAUUCAAACAGGCCCAGUCUCAAGAAGAUAAAACGAGUGUGCAAGAAGUAUGUUGUAAUUGAAGUGGCGUACUGCCUGCCACCCAAGAGGUUGCUCUAAAUGUGUCUCCAUUUCUCUGGAAAAAAAUUCCCAAGGGGACAACUGCUGAGUCAAAUGGGUCUGAACAACAUUCAUUCCCUUGCAGAUCUGACACAUGACUUGCUCAAAUAUACAAUUACUUCACUUCCUGGUACAUUUCAUCUACCCAACUGUCACUCCAAUCUUUCCAGCUCUUUGGGAUAUAUUUCUUUCGUUCGUUUUCACAUUUUGCCUUUGGUUAAGUACGUUGUCAGUCAAAACAUGAUUCACUGAAUUUGUUUAUCCAGUGCAGUGUAAUUUGACACAGAAUUGUGUGUUUCUAACCCUUAUCCUUUUAUUAAUGUUUCGUUGUUACCUCAUUUAUCAUUUACAUUUUCAUGACAGUUCUCUAAAACUAUUUUCCCCACAUCUAUUAUCACUUUUUUCGAACAUUGUCAAUUUAAAUUCGUACAUAAGACUCAGAGAAACUUAGUUUUUGUUAAUAAUAAUAAUACAAAUCUAAUGAACUGAUUUUCUUAAAUUCUUCUGAGAAAAAAAAUAGCAAUUUAAGAGAAAUGACUAUUCAUGUGUUCUUUUUCUCUCUUUUAAUGAGAAGAUUCAACUUGAAUGAUGAAACUUUAUGUAGCAAGUGCAUUAAAACCACUUAUAAUUAUUGCUUUUCAUUUAUGCUUCUAUGUCUUUGUGUGCUAUGUUUAGAGCUAUUUAGCUCUGGUGAUAGAAUCAAAACUGACUCACAAAUUACAAAUGUAACAGAAUAAAUAUUUUCCUAUCCUUUCAAAAAAAAAAGCAAUAACAACAAAAACAACAACAAACAUAUAUUUUUAACUAUCUGAGAUGGCUGAGCUUAUGAGGGGAAUGUUUUAAAUUUGGUUAGGAGUUUAUGACAGUUGGGAAAUGAGCCAUCAAUGUUAACAGGAACUUUUUUUUAAUCUCCAGAGCUGGACACUUCCCACAUUAAAUAAGCACACCUGUCUGUUUUGAUCUCACAAAAUACAGAAGAAAAAAAGCCUAAUUAAAAUUUUAACAUACUUAUGAUUACACUUGCCAGAGUAUGUUUACCAUAACUUGAAUUAGAUAUUGUCUUGCCAUUACUAAGUGAGUUCAUCAUGGUGAUUAGGUCAGGAAACAUAAUUUCUUAUGAUCUACACAGCCUACAUGAGUAGUUCUACUUACCACUACCUAAAAUCUGUGAAAAAACCAUUUUAUGCUGAGGGUUGCUUCAUCUUCAUGGAAAAAAGCAUGUGACAAUUUGAUAACAGUGCUUAAUUGGUAAUAUCCUUGUCUACAUCCAGAAUGGUACUAAGACUACAAUGACGUGAAAGUAGUGCUGAACCUAGACUGAGAGGUUUGGAGUUUGAGUCUCUGCUUCACCAAAUACUAACUAUACAACCUGAAACAAUGUAAUCAACUGUUAGGAAUCAUUGUUUUUCACUAAUAAAAAGAGAAUAACUGUUCUAUUUAACACAAAGGACUUAAAAAUAAUUAUAUAAAAUCAGGUAUAUAUAAAUCUAUGAACUUCCACAUUAAUCUUGUAUUUAUUCUAUUAACCUUGCCCCCCAAUGUCCCCCACUCAAUAUGAUAGGAAACCAAUUUUUGUCUUUGUGAUAUAUUGAUUUCUUUUCCUUUGGGUAGAUAUUCAGUACUGGGAUUGCUGGAUCAAAUAGUAGUUCUACUUUUAGUUCGUUUAGAAAUCUCCAUACUGUUUUCCAUAGAGGUUGUACUAAUUUACAUUCUCACCAAAAACGUGUGAGAUUUCCCUUUUCUCCACAUCCUCACCAAUGUCUGUUAUUUUUGUCUUUUCGAUAACAGACAUUCUGACUAGAGUAAGAUGUUUUCUCAUUGUGGCUUUAAAUUUGUAUUUAUCUGAUGAUUAGUGAUGUUGAGCACUUUUGAAUAUACUUGGUGGCCAUUUGCAUGUCUUCAUUUUAAAAAUGUCUGUUCCGUUUUUCAAUUAUGGAUUUUUUAAUGAAAGUUUUCAUGUCAAAAUUUACUACUUUGCAUAAUUUUGAUUUUUUAAAUUUAACUAAAGAAUGAUUUGGUGAAUUAGACCUUAAAGCUGCUUAAUUCUGACAGGUAGGCUUACCGGCUUUGAUUUCUUUGUCUGUCCCUGUUUCCCGAACCAAGUCCUCCUGAAUCAUUCUUUAAUCUAUAAUGCUAUAACUUCAUUUAAGGUGUUUAAGUGCACAAGCAUGUUCAGAUUCAUUUUGCUUUAUUAUUGCUUAAUAAAACUAAAUAAAAAUGAAUAAAUUACAUAAUUCAAACAAAAAUAAUGUCUGUUCAUAUGCUUUUCCCACUAUUUAAAGACAUUCUUUGUUUUAGGGGGUCUUAGUCAUACAUUCUUUGCCCAGACUAAUUAGGCUAUAUUUUCACACGUU